This 343-nucleotide ribosomal RNA is filed under the name Escherichia coli. Its description in RNAcentral is "partial 23S ribosomal RNA". It matches the Rfam family "Bacterial large subunit ribosomal RNA", at positions 604 to 948 of the family's 2925-position model. Lineage: Bacteria; Pseudomonadati; Pseudomonadota; Gammaproteobacteria; Enterobacterales; Enterobacteriaceae. The record is from RNAcentral.
CCUUUUGUAUAAUGGGUCAGCGACUUAUAUUCUGUAGCAAGGUUAACCGAAUAGGGGAGCCGAAGGGAAACCGAGUCUUAACUGGGCGUUAAGUUGCAGGGUAUAGACCCGAAACCCGGUGAUCUAGCCAUGGGCAGGUUGAAGGUUGGGUAACACUAACUGGAGGACCGAACCGACUAAUGUUGAAAAAUUAGCGGAUGACUUGUGGCUGGGGGUGAAAGGCCAAUCAAACCGGGAGAUAGCUGGUUCUCCCCGAAAGCUAUUUAGGUAGCGCCUCGUGAAUUCAUCUCCGGGGGUAGAGCACUGUUUCGGCAAGGGGGUCAUCCCGACUUACCAACCCGAU